AUCACUUCUUAGCCUUUUGGCUGAGAUCAACUGUAGUUUCUGUUCUUGUCAGUUUAAUUCCAUUUUUCACAAACUUUUUGAAGUCCGGGAGAUUUUUAUCUUAGGUAUGGGGUGGGAGGAUGCAUAGAGUGAGCUAAUCAUAUUCUUCGAUUCACGAUUCAUGCUCAUCAUUGGUCUGCGUAUGGCUCCUCCUCU
Molecule: small nuclear RNA, 195 nt
Organism: Echinops telfairi (small Madagascar hedgehog)
Lineage: Eukaryota; Metazoa; Chordata; Mammalia; Afrosoricida; Tenrecidae
Gene: U2
Rfam family: U2 spliceosomal RNA
About the family: U2 is a small nuclear RNA (snRNA) component of the spliceosome (involved in pre-mRNA splicing).
Source: Ensembl